GCGGGAGUGGCGUAACAGGCAGCCGCGAUAGGUUUAGGUCCUAUUGUCCGAUUGGACGUAGGGGUUCGAGUCCCCUCUCCCGCACCA
RNAcentral lists this transfer RNA (87 nucleotides) under Micromonospora halophytica. RNAcentral describes it as "tRNA_Leu_TAG". It matches the Rfam family "tRNA". Rfam says of the family: Transfer RNA (tRNA) molecules are approximately 80 nucleotides in length. Their secondary structure includes four short double-helical elements and three loops (D, anti-codon, and T loops). The record is from RNAcentral. Lineage: Bacteria; Bacillati; Actinomycetota; Actinomycetes; Micromonosporales; Micromonosporaceae.